AUGGCCGUCGCCGUGUCCCGCGCGGUGUUGCUGGCGGCCGUCGCGUCGCUCGCAUGCCUCGCCUUCGCGGAGCCGCCGCCGAGCGAGCGGUCCGCGCUGCUGGCGUUCCUCACGGCCACGCCCCACGAGCGGAGGCUCGGCUGGAACACCUCCACGCCGGCCUGCUCCUGGGUCGGGGUCACGUGCGACGCCGCCCAGUCCACCGUCGUCCAGCUGCGCCUCCCGGGGGUCGGCCUCGUCGGCGCCAUCCCGCCGGCGACCAUCAGCCGCCUCCCCAACCUGCAGGUGCUGUCGCUCCGCUCCAACCGCAUCAUCGGGGGUAUCCCUGACGAUCUGCUCCAGCUCUCCAGCCUCCGCGCCAUCUUCCUGCAGAACAACAUGAUCUCCGGCGCCAUCCCGUCGGGGGUCGGCAAGCUCGCGGCCCUCGAGAGGCUCGUCCUCUCCCACAACAAUCUGUCAGGCCCCAUCCCCUUCGCGCUCAACAGCCUCGCCUCCCUGCGCUCUCUGCGCCUCGAAGGCAACCGCCUCUCCGGCAAAAUCCCCAGCAUCACCAACCCGGAGCUCAAGGAUUUCAAUGUCUCCGUCAACAGCCUCAACGGCUCCAUUCCGCAGGCCCUCGCGCGCUUCCCGGCGGACUCCUUCGCCGGGAACCUCCAGCUGUGCGGCAAACCGCUGCCCGCUUGCAGCCCCUUCUUCCCGUCGUACAAGGCGGUGCUGGAGGAGGGGACGACGGUGGUGGUGAAGCGGCUCAAGGACGUGGCGGUGGCGCGGCGCGAGUUCGACGCGCACAUGGAGGCGCUGGGCAGGGUGGAGCACCGCAACCUGCUCCCCGUCCGCGCCUACUACUUCUCCAAGGACGAGAAGCUCCUCGUCUACGACUAUCUCCCCAACGGCAGCCUCUCCGCCAUGCUCCACGGGAGCCGGGGCUCCGGCCGGACGCCGAUGGACUGGGACGCGCGCAUGCUCUCGGCGCUGUCCGCCUCUCGCGGGCUUGCGCACUUGCACUCCGCGCACAACCUCGCGCACGGCAACGUCAAGUCCUCCAACGUCCUGCUCCGACCGGACUACGACGCCGCCGCGCUCUCCGACUUCUGCCUCCACCCGAUCUUCGCCCCGUCGUCCACCCGCGCCGGCGCCGGCGGCUACCGCGCGCCGGAGGUCGUGGACACGCGCCGUCCCACGUUCAAGGCCGACGUCUACUCCCUGGGCGUCCUCCUGCUGGAGCUUCUCACCGGCAAGUCCCCGACGCACGCGUCCCUCGAGGGCGACGGCACGCUGGACCUGCCACGGUGGGUGCAGUCCGUGGUGCGCGAGGAGUGGACCGCCGAGGUGUUCGACGUCGAGCUGGUGCGGCUCGGCGCGAGCGCCGAGGAGGAGAUGGUGGCACUGCUGCAGGUGGCCAUGGCGUGCGUGGCCACCGUGCCGGACGCGCGGCCGGACGCCCCGGACGUGGUCAGAAUGAUCGAGGAGAUCGGCGGUGGCCAUGGCCAGACGACAACCGAGGAGAGCGCGCGGGGCACCCCGGAGGAGGAGCGGUCGAGGGGCACACCUCCGGCCGCCCCGACGCCGUAA
RNAcentral lists this ribosomal RNA (1572 nucleotides) under Triticum aestivum (bread wheat). RNAcentral's name for it is "partial small subunit ribosomal RNA". Lineage: Eukaryota; Viridiplantae; Streptophyta; Magnoliopsida; Poales; Poaceae. The record is from RNAcentral.